RNAcentral lists this ribosomal RNA (441 nucleotides) under Bacillus sp. (in: firmicutes). RNAcentral describes it as "bacterial SSU rRNA". It matches the Rfam family "Bacterial small subunit ribosomal RNA", at positions 990 to 1430 of the family's 1533-position model. Lineage: Bacteria; Bacillati; Bacillota; Bacilli; Caryophanales; Bacillaceae. The record is from RNAcentral.
UCUGACAAUCCUAGAGAUAGGACUUUCCCCUUCGGGGAACAGAGUGACAGGUGGUGCAUGGUUGUCGUCAGCUCGUGUCGUGAGAUGUUGGGUUAAGUCCCGCAACGAGCGCAACCCUUGAUCUUAGUUGCCAGCAUUCAGUUGGGCACUCUAAGGUGACUGCCGGUGACAAACCGGAGGAAGGUGGGGAUGACGUCAAAUCAUCAUGCCCCUUAUGACCUGGGCUACACACGUGCUACAAUGGAUGGUACAAAGGGCUGCAAGACCGCGAGGUUUAGCCAAUCCCAUAAAACCAUUCUCAGUUCGGAUUGUAGGCUGCAACUCGCCUACAUGAAGCCGGAAUCGCUAGUAAUCGCGGAUCAGCAUGCCGCGGUGAAUACGUUCCCGGGCCUUGUACACACCGCCCGUCACACCACGAGAGUUUGUAACACCCGAAGUCGG